This 442-nucleotide ribosomal RNA is filed under the name uncultured bacterium. RNAcentral describes it as "partial 16S ribosomal RNA". It matches the Rfam family "Bacterial small subunit ribosomal RNA", at positions 338 to 795 of the family's 1533-position model. The record is from RNAcentral.
CCUACGGGAGGCAGCAGUGGGGAAUAUUGGGCAAUGGGCGCAAGUCUGAACCAGCAACGCCGCGUGAAGGAUGAAGGCUUUCGGGUUGUAAACUUUCUUUGACAGGGAAGUGUAGAAUAUGGUGCCUGUCGAAUAAGCUAUGGCUAAAUACGUGCCAGCAGCCGCGGUCAUACGUAGGACGCAAGCGUUGUGCGGGUGUAGUGGGUGUAAAGGGCUUGUAGGGGGGUUGACAAGUCAGAUGUGAAAGUCUGCGGCUUAACCGCAGAACUGCAUUUGAAAGUGUUGAUCUUGAGUACAGUAGAGGUAGACGGAAUUCGUGGUGUAGCGGUGAAAUGCGUAGAUAUUACGAAGAACACCAGUGGCGAAGGCAGUCUGCUGGACAGCAACUGACGGUGAGGCGCGAAAGCGUGGGGAUCAAACAGGAUUAGAUACCCGAGUAGUC